This 68-nucleotide transfer RNA is filed under the name Sciurus granatensis (red-tailed squirrel). Its description in RNAcentral is "Syntheosciurus granatensis (red-tailed squirrel) tRNA-Pro". It matches the Rfam family "tRNA". Rfam says of the family: Transfer RNA (tRNA) molecules are approximately 80 nucleotides in length. Their secondary structure includes four short double-helical elements and three loops (D, anti-codon, and T loops). The record is from RNAcentral. Lineage: Eukaryota; Metazoa; Chordata; Mammalia; Rodentia; Sciuridae.
CAGGGAGUAGUUUAGAAUAAGAAUAUCAGCUUUGGGAGUUGAAGGCGGAAUUUGUGUUUCUUCCCUGA